Molecule: long non-coding RNA, 347 nt
Filed under: Urocitellus parryii (Arctic ground squirrel)
Lineage: Eukaryota; Metazoa; Chordata; Mammalia; Rodentia; Sciuridae
Description: lncRNA (ENSUPAG00010017173.1)
Source: RNAcentral
CUGGGGAAGGCAAAACUCACAGGCUUAGGUAGGGCGAGGGAGUGAAGUGCUUAUAAUUUUAAAAGAAACGAUAGGACCUAAUCCAGCAAGUCAAGGCCUGAAUCUGGAAGAGAACCCAGAGGCUAGAAUCCUCCAAAUGUUAUUCGCGCAUGGUUGGAAAGGACACUUGAUGUAAGAAAAGAAGCAAAUGAAGGAAACAGAAGAGGCUCAACAGCAAAACAGGUUUAUUUGGGACAAACCUGUGCAGGAGGCCUAUUGGAGACAGAGACCCAUCUGCCAUUGCUAGGGGGCUGUCAGGGAGGUCCUCACCUCCAUUUUUUGAGGUGGUCACUGUUCCACCUUGAACC